CACGUAGGGUGCGAGCGUUGUCCGGAAUUAUUGGGCGUAAAGAGCUCGUAGGCGGUGUGUCGCGUCGGCCGUGAAAACCUGCAGCUUAACUGUGGGCCUGCAUUCGAUACGGGCAGACUAGAGUUCGGUAGGGGAGUCUGGAAUUCCUGGUGUAGCGGUGAAAUGCGCAGAUAUCAGGAGGAACACCGGUGGCGAAGGCGGGACUCUGGGCCGAUACUGACGCUGAGGAGCGAAAGCGUGGGGAGCAAACAGG
Molecule: ribosomal RNA, 253 nt
Filed under: uncultured bacterium
Lineage: Bacteria
Description: partial 16S ribosomal RNA
Rfam family: Bacterial small subunit ribosomal RNA
Source: RNAcentral